CCAGCUCGCUGAGGCACUCAUAGGCCGAGCCCGCCUGCAGGAAGAGCUGGGCCAGGCACAUACUCUCGCUGCGGAACAGGGAGCCCAUGAUGAGCCCUGGGCCGGAGAGGGGGGGGAGGCUGCGGCCACCCGGCACCCACACGCCAAACGGGCUGAAGAGGAUCACCGGGCCCUGUAGCGCGACCGCCUCCCGCGGGCUUUGGCGGGCUCCCCCAUCCCCGGGGCCAUGGAGAGAGCUCAGCUCCUGCGUCCGCGAGCAGCAACUCCAGCCGCUUCCGGUGUCUAACCCUUCUCAGCAGGCCGGGGGAGCGCGGGCCGAGCGGCGGCGAGCCCUGCGCUCUUCCGCCCCGCCUCCGGGCCGAGCGGCAGAGCGCGCGGGGAAAAGGGCCAGGGCGGAGGCUCCUCUCAGAGCAGCCGCCAGCCGGGCCGGGGCCGGGGCUCGCUCGGCGCUCUGGCUGGGGAGCGAGGUGUAGGGAGAAUUCACUACCCGAGGCGGGAUGAAGCGUUCCAACGAGUUCCCCGGACCGCCUGCUGUCUACACCACAGAGAUCAGCCAGCUCACCCCCCUUCUCCUCCCAGGGGGUUGAUGUCCCUUAGCUCCAGCCUGAUGAAAACUACUGAGCCUUGGCUCCUUUCAGGAUUUACAGCCACACACCUGAGCCGGAAUCUUGGAUUGUCUUUACCUCUCAGGCCUGCUCUAAGUCUCAUCCAUUGGAGGCAGGUGAUCAUCAGUUGGAACUUCCACCCACAACUCCAUCUUCAGGCAGUGUAGUGCAUAAUUGGCCAGGUUGAUUGUGCAGAGCUGAGUCACCUCCUGCUGCAGCACUGGUGUUAGGCCACUGUUUAAGACAAGAUACCAGGCUAGAUGGAGCCUUUGGUCAGUAAAAUAGGCUAGUUCCUGGCAAUUUUUAAUAUAUCCCACUUAAGUCUAGUUUUUUUUUUUUAAUUCCUGCUUUUAUGCAGUAACUGCAUCUUUCUAAAUGUAUCUAUUUCAAACCACAACAUACAGUACAUAUAUAUUUUUGUAAAGAGGUCACCUGUGAAGGGGGGGGGAGGAGGUGGAAUUUAUGUCUGCAAGAGGUUUUGGUUGAGAAAAAACUGUUCUAGCCAGGACGUUAGCCUGUUAAGUCUAGUCUCUAGAAAUCAUGUAUUGAUUUUGUUUUAUUAUCCUUACUCACUAUUUCUUGAAUCUUGAUCUUUAAUAAUAAACUUAUGAUUGUUUUCACUACAAA
Non-coding RNA from Chrysemys picta bellii (western painted turtle), 1232 nucleotides. The record is from RefSeq and is a predicted model, not a curated record. NCBI's taxonomy places the organism in Eukaryota, Metazoa, Chordata, Testudines, Emydidae.